RNAcentral lists this ribosomal RNA (245 nucleotides) under uncultured Azospirillum sp. RNAcentral describes it as "partial 16S ribosomal RNA". It matches the Rfam family "Bacterial small subunit ribosomal RNA", at positions 524 to 768 of the family's 1533-position model. The record is from RNAcentral. Lineage: Bacteria; Pseudomonadati; Pseudomonadota; Alphaproteobacteria; Rhodospirillales; Azospirillaceae.
UACGAAGGGGGCGAGCGUUGUUCGGAAUUACUGGGCGUAAAGGGCGCGCAGGCGGCUCUGAAAGUCAGAUGUGAAAGCCCCGGGCUUAACCUGGGAAUUACAUUUGAUACUCUAGAGCUUGAGUACGGGAGAGGAGAGUGGAAUUCCCAGUGUAGAGGUGAAAUUCGUAGAUAUUGGGAAGAACAUCGGUGGCGAAGGCGGCGCUCUGGACCGAGACUGACGCUGAGGCGCGAAAGCGUGGGGAG